UACGUAGGGUGCGAGCGUUGUCCGGAUUUAUUGGGCGUAAAGAGCUCGUAGGUGGUUUGUUGCGUCGGAAGUGAAAACUUGGGGCUUAACUCCAGGCUUGCUUUCGAUACGGGCAGACUUGAGGGAUGUAGGGGAGAACGGAAUUCCUGGUGGAGCGGUGGAAUGCGCAGAUAUCAGGAGGAACACCGGUGGCGAAGGCGGUUCUCUGGACAUUUCCUGACGCUGAGGAGCGAAAGCGUGGGGAGCAAACAGG
This 253-nucleotide ribosomal RNA is filed under the name uncultured bacterium. RNAcentral describes it as "partial 16S ribosomal RNA". It matches the Rfam family "Bacterial small subunit ribosomal RNA", at positions 524 to 776 of the family's 1533-position model. The record is from RNAcentral.